RNAcentral lists this ribosomal RNA (471 nucleotides) under uncultured bacterium. RNAcentral's name for it is "SSU rRNA". It matches the Rfam family "Bacterial small subunit ribosomal RNA", at positions 26 to 518 of the family's 1533-position model. The record is from RNAcentral.
AGGACGAACGCUGGCGGCGUGCUUAACACAUGCAAGUCGAGCGGAAAGGCCCUUCGGGGUACUCGAGCGGCGAACGGGUGAGUAACACGUGAGUAAUCUGCCCCUAGCUCUGGGAUAGCUCCGGGAAACCGGGAUUAAUACCAGAUACGACCACUUUAGACAUCUGUUGUGGUGGAAAGAAUUUUGGCUAGGGAUGAGCUCGCGGCCUAUCAGCUUGUUGGUGAGGUAACGGCUCACCAAGGCGACGACGGGUAGCCGGCCUGAGAGGGCGACCGGCCACACUGGGACUGAGACACGGCCCAGACUCCUACGGGAGGCAGCAGUGAGGAAUAUUGCGCAAUGGGCGAAAGCCUGACGCAGCGACGCCGCGUGGGGGAUGAAGGCCUUCGGGUUGUAAACCCUUCAGCAGGACGAAGCGAAAGUGACGGUACCUGCAGAAGAAGCGCCGGCUAACUACGUGCCAGCAGCCGC